Molecule: long non-coding RNA, 188 nt
Organism: Sphaeramia orbicularis (orbiculate cardinalfish)
Lineage: Eukaryota; Metazoa; Chordata; Actinopteri; Kurtiformes; Apogonidae
Exons: 3
Source: RefSeq, a predicted model, not a curated record
UCAAAAACACGAGUACCAUUUUUUUCAGAAUAUAAGUCGCUCCAGAGUAUAAGUCGCACCAGCCAAAAAAUGCAUAAUGAAGAAAAAAACAUAUAUAAGUCGCACUGGACUAUAAGUCACAUUUUUUGAGGAAAUUUAUUUGAUAAAAUCCGAGACCAAGAAUAGACAUUUCAUCUUGAAAGGUAAUU